RNAcentral lists this ribosomal RNA (283 nucleotides) under uncultured prokaryote. Its description in RNAcentral is "partial 16S ribosomal RNA". It matches the Rfam family "Archaeal small subunit ribosomal RNA", at positions 474 to 754 of the family's 1478-position model. The record is from RNAcentral.
CACCGGCGGCUCGAGUGGUAACCGUUAUUAUUGGGUCUAAAGGGUCUGUAGCCGGCCGGAUAAGUCUCUUGAGGAAUCUGGCAGCUUAACUGUCAGGCUUUCAGGAGAUACUGUCUGGCUCGAGGCCGGGAGAGGUGAGAGGUACUUCAGGGGUAGGGGUGAAAUCUUGUAAUCCUUGAAGGACCACCAGUGGCGAAGGCGUCUCACCAGAACGGACCUGACGGCAAGGGACGAAAGCUAGGGGCACGAACCGGAUUAGAUACCCCCGUAGUCCCUGAGCGGG